This 440-nucleotide ribosomal RNA is filed under the name uncultured bacterium. Its description in RNAcentral is "partial 16S ribosomal RNA". It matches the Rfam family "Bacterial small subunit ribosomal RNA", at positions 338 to 795 of the family's 1533-position model. The record is from RNAcentral.
CCUACGGUUCGCAGCAGUGGGGGAUAUUGCACAAUGGGGGGAACCCUGAUGCAGCGACGCCGCGUGGGUGAAGAAGCGCCUCGGCGCGUAAAGCCCUGUCAGCAGGGAAGAAAAUGACGGUACCUGAAGAAGAAGCCCCGGCUAACUACGUGCCAGCAGCCGCGGUAAUACGUAGGGGGCAAGCGUUAUGCGGAUUUACUGGGUGUAAAGGGGGCGCAGACGGCGAUGCAAGCCAGGAGUGAAAGCCCGGGGCCCAACGCCGGGACUGCUCUUGGAACUGGGUGGCUGGAGUGCAGGAGGGGCAGGGGGAAUUCCUGGUGUAGGGGUGAAAUGCGUAGAUAUCAGGAGGAACAGCAGUGGCGAAGGCGACCUGCUGGACUGCAACUGACGUUGAGGCGCGAAAGCGUGGGGAGCAAACAGGAUUAGAUACCCUUGUAGUC